GGCGGACGGGUGAGUAACGCGUGGGUAACCUGCCUUACACAGGGGGAUAACACCUGGAAACAGGUGCUAAUACCGCAUAAGCGCACAGGGCCGCAUGGCCCGGUGUGAAAAACUCCGGUGGUGUAAGAUGGACCCGCGUCUGAUUAGCUUGUUGGCGGGGUAGGGGCCCACCAAGGCGACGAUCAGUAGCCGGCCUGAGAGGGUGGACGGCCACAUUGGGACUGAGACACGGCCCAA
Molecule: ribosomal RNA, 237 nt
Filed under: uncultured Bacillota bacterium
Lineage: Bacteria; Bacillati; Bacillota
Description: uncultured Firmicutes bacterium partial 16S ribosomal RNA
Rfam family: Bacterial small subunit ribosomal RNA
Source: RNAcentral